RNAcentral lists this long non-coding RNA (270 nucleotides) under Lathyrus oleraceus (garden pea). RNAcentral describes it as "Pisum sativum (pea) long non-coding RNA (PSAT_LNC018327)". Lineage: Eukaryota; Viridiplantae; Streptophyta; Magnoliopsida; Fabales; Fabaceae. The record is from RNAcentral.
CAAAGAAAGUUUUUGAAAAGAGGGAGAGAUUUUGAAAUUUAAGAAGUGGGAAGAGAUGAAGGGACUAUCCUAGACAAAGAUUAAAAGUUAAGAGUUGAAAAUAUCUGACCAAAUGGGAUGCAAUCCAACAGACAAGAAUGUCAUAUAGAAACCUAUUCUCCCUUGGACUUUAGCAAGAAACAAGCAUAGGCAAUGUCCAAGGCAUCAAAUAAAGAUAGCCAUAAUAUCCAAGCAAGCACUCCAAUAGCUAGCAAUCUUCAAAUGUCUUCA